Molecule: ribosomal RNA, 496 nt
Filed under: uncultured bacterium
Lineage: Bacteria
Description: partial 16S ribosomal RNA
Rfam family: Bacterial small subunit ribosomal RNA
Source: RNAcentral
AUGAACGCUGGCGGCGUGCCUAAUACAUGCAAGUCGAGCGAACAGACGAGGAGCUUGCUCCUCUGACGUUAGCGGCGGACGGGUGAGUAACACGUGGAUAACCUACCUAUAAGACUGGGAUAACUUCGGGAAACCGGAGCUAAUACCGGAUAAUAUAUUGAACCGCAUGGUUCAAUAGUGAAAGACGGUUUUGCUGUCACUUAUAGAUGGAUCCGCGCCGCAUUAGCUAGUUGGUAAGGUAACGGCUUACCAAGGCAACGAUGCGUAGCCGACCUGAGAGGGUGAUCGGCCAUACUGGAACUGAGACACGGUCCAGACUCCUACGGGAGGCAGCAGUAGGGAAUCUUCCGCAAUGGGCGAAAGCCUGACGGAGCAACGCCGCGUGAGUGAUGAAGGUCUUCGGAUCGUAAAACUCCGUUAUUAGGGAAGAACAAAUGUGUAAGUAACUAUGCACGUCUUGACGGUACCUAAUCAGAAAGCCACGGCUAACUACGUG